GGCCCCGUCGUCUAGGCUGGUCCAGGACACCACGCUUUCAAUGUGGUAACACGGGUUCGAAUCCCGUCGGGGCUACCA
RNAcentral lists this transfer RNA (78 nucleotides) under Candidatus Kerfeldbacteria bacterium. Its description in RNAcentral is "tRNA-Glu". It matches the Rfam family "tRNA". Rfam says of the family: Transfer RNA (tRNA) molecules are approximately 80 nucleotides in length. Their secondary structure includes four short double-helical elements and three loops (D, anti-codon, and T loops). Further hydrogen bonds mediate the characteristic L-shaped molecular structure. tRNAs have two regions of fundamental functional importance: the anti-codon, which is responsible for specific mRNA codon recognition, and the 3' end, to which the tRNAs corresponding amino acid is attached (by aminoacyl-tRNA synthetases). tRNAs cope with the degeneracy of the genetic code in two manners: having more than one tRNA (with a specific anti-codon) for a particular amino acid; and 'wobble' base-pairing, i.e. permitting non-standard base-pairing at the 3rd anti-codon position. Lineage: Bacteria; Candidatus Kerfeldiibacteriota. The record is from RNAcentral.